UGGGGAAUAUUGGACAAUGGGCGGAAGCCUGAUCCAGCAACGCCGCGUGAGGGAUGACGGCCUUCGGGUUGUAAACCUCUUUCAGUACCGACGAAGCGAAAGUGACGGUAGGUACAGAAGAAGGACCGGCCAACUACGUGCCAGCAGCCGCGGUAAUACGUAGGGUCCGAGCGUUGUCCGGAAUUAUUGGGCGUAAAGGGCUCGUAGGCGGUUUGUCGCGUCGGGAGUGAAAGCCAUGGGCUUAACUCAUGGCUUGCUUUCGAUACGGGCAGACUAGAGGUAUGCAGGGGAGAAUGGAAUUCCUGGUGUAGCGGUGAAAUGCGCAGAUAUCAGGAGGAACACCGGUGGCGAAGGCGGUUCUCUGGGCAUUACCUGACGCUGAGGAGCGAAAGUGUGGGGAGCGAACAGG
RNAcentral lists this ribosomal RNA (409 nucleotides) under bacterium. Its description in RNAcentral is "partial 16S ribosomal RNA". It matches the Rfam family "Bacterial small subunit ribosomal RNA", at positions 355 to 776 of the family's 1533-position model. The record is from RNAcentral.